This 217-nucleotide unclassified non-coding RNA is filed under the name Hevea brasiliensis (rubber tree). Lineage: Eukaryota; Viridiplantae; Streptophyta; Magnoliopsida; Malpighiales; Euphorbiaceae. The record is from RNAcentral.
GAAAACAUCAGAAUCUGAGCGCGCGGACAAAGCUGAAAGUGAUGUUCGGAAUCUAAAAGAUAGUCUCUCUAAAUUGUCUUUUGAGAACGAAGACAUAACUCUUGAAUACAAGCAAGCAGUUGAAAGGAUAGCUUCUAUGGAAACCAAAAUGUCUCAGAUACAGGAUGAGUUUAAGAAACUCAAUGAUGUGAUUGUUUUGGAGGCUAUGAAGUUGGAU